Prosopis cineraria is the source of this 666-nucleotide long non-coding RNA. RefSeq lists it as uncharacterized. The record is from RefSeq and is a predicted model, not a curated record. The transcript is spliced from 2 exons. Lineage: Eukaryota; Viridiplantae; Streptophyta; Magnoliopsida; Fabales; Fabaceae.
UUUAUGCCAUAGAUUGUUUAUUUUUUUCUUCAAAAAUGAUUUGGCAUCUAGUUGAGAGCUCAACCAUGUAAUAUUGACCAACUGGGUAUGCCUUUAUUAGUCUAGAUUCAUCAGGUUUUAUUGUCAAAACAAGUUACAGGAAAUGUUAGUGGUUCUCCUUACGUGACACUAUCUAUUCUUUGACAGUAUACAAAAAUGGAAUGAGCUGGUGCCAAUUAACUUCAUCAAAUUCUUGUGCAAUCAAAGUUAUAAAUGCUGUACAAAACGCUGUCAUUGAUCUCACUAAGUUUGAGCUGGGGAGGCUUGUAUUUUCAAAAAUUUGAUGUCUCAAUGAAGUCGUGAUUUAUAUAAUGUCUUGUUAUUUUAAUGCUAUACAUUAGUAAACAUUCAUUAUUAUCUUUGUUCCACACGGCCAUGUGAUGUUUUUAUUAUUUUUGAUGUUGUCGGAAGAAUGAAAGGGAGAUGGGAAGUAGAGUAUAGUGCUCCAAUGAAGGAUUAGUUUUUGACCUGCAGCUUUUACCGAGUUCUACAGAACUAAUGAACCAUUUAGUGAGCUACCACCCAUUGAUAAAACUGAAUAGCUUCUAAUGCUACAACAAGAGGACGUUAUGAAGUUACUUCCCAAACCAUUGACUGCAUCGGUGGUGGCUGGUCAUAUGGCAAAAA